GACGAACGCUGGCGGCGUGCUUAACACAUGCAAGUCGAACGGAAAGGCCCUGCUUUUGUGGGGUGCUCGAGUGGCGAACGGGUGAGUAACACGUGAGUAACCUGCCCUUGACUUUGGGAUAACUUCAGGAAACUGGGGCUAAUACCGGAUAGGAGCUCCUGCUGCAUGGUGGGGGUUGGAAAGUUUCGGCGGUUGGGGAUGGACUCGCGGCUUAUCAGCUUGUUGGUGGGGUAGUGGCUUACCAAGGCUUGGACGGGUAGCCGGCCUGAGAGGGUGACCGGCCACCUUGGGACUGAGAUACGGCCCAGACUCCUACGGGAGGCAGCAGUGGGGAAUAUUGCACAAUGGGCGGAAGCCUGAUGCAGCAACGCCGCGUGCGGGAUGACGGCCUUCGGGUUGUAAACCGCUUUCGCCUGUGACGAAGCGUGAGUGACGGUAAUGGGUAAAGAAGCACCGGCUAACUACGUG
This 468-nucleotide ribosomal RNA is filed under the name uncultured bacterium. Its description in RNAcentral is "partial 16S ribosomal RNA". It matches the Rfam family "Bacterial small subunit ribosomal RNA", at positions 28 to 507 of the family's 1533-position model. The record is from RNAcentral.